Parus major (Great Tit) is the source of this 660-nucleotide long non-coding RNA. RefSeq lists it as uncharacterized. Lineage: Eukaryota; Metazoa; Chordata; Aves; Passeriformes; Paridae. The record is from RefSeq and is a predicted model, not a curated record. The transcript is spliced from 3 exons.
GUACUUCAUUACAGGUGGGAAAACAACACGGAUUGUAUGUCCUCCAGUGUUCAUGUAGGCUGGGAAGUGGGAGGAGAAAAACAAAACAAAGCUGAAAAUGAGUGUUGAAUGGGCUUUCCCAGGAUUCCCAGAUAUCUGUGGUUACCUCUGUGUGAACUGUAGCAAAGUUCUCCAGAAAGGAGUUCCCCAAAUAGGUCUCACCACACUACGCUGCCCAUCCAUGAAGCUCUUCUGAAGAUUCUGGAGCACCUAUGGUUUUCUGUGCAAAAUGGCAUAUAGGGUUUGUAACUUAUGUUUGCCUCUCCCAGGAAAAGGACAUUAAUUCAAAAAGUAAGUUUAUUAGCUGUCUUUCAAAAACAGUAUUCUAAAAAAUACUAGUUUAGUUGUGGAAUUCUGUGAAGGUGGGACUGAGAGGAGAUUCUGUUUUUGGUAACAACAUGUGGUCUGUAUGUUGGAAGAACUUAAGGACACAGUCCACUGUUGAGUCCAGCUGAACACCUGUUGUAUGCUACUACCACUGUCUCUGGAAACGGAUGGUUUUGACCUCCUUGUUUUAAUAGUUACUCCUCAAAGGUCAGAUUAUUGUCUGACCCUUCCACUAGUCAGCAUGAUUAAGUGAUUGUGUCACUGGUGAAUGCUUGUUCCACUCCAACCUCUGCA